AUGUCUCUCAAAGAUUUUACUUGGUAUACUGAACUGAACAUUGAUUAAAGGAAAUACAAUAGCAACUUAAAUGUUGAGGAUGAUUAUGAUGCUGUUUAAACUUGGAGAAUAUUGCACAUUCUAGGCAACUUCACAACAAGUUUCUUACAAGAAAGACUACUGUGUCGACAGUCUCAGGCUUUAAAGUUGCCCUAUGGCAGGACACAAUGUUGCCACCUGUGCUAAAAACAUGCUCUGAGGGGGAGCUGGUGGCAGGUGUGUCAAGGUAACGUUUGGCCAGGCAGCUCACUCUGGGAAAGAAUGUUACAUUGAUCUUCCACCAUGCCAGGGGAUUGGUCUCACUGUCUGCAUCAGGAGCUUGCGGGUAUCUCUUCAGUUCAGCUUCAAUAGCCUCCUCUUCUGUAGGAACUGAUGUGGUGCUGGUGUAGGACUUUUUGAAAAAACUACCCAGUGUCAUCAUCUUCUACAGCGGCAGCAGCUCCUCCCUCAGCUCCUGCUUCUGUGGCUCCUGCCGGUCCUUCCUCAUGGCUCUGGUUUUUAUGGUGCCAGUCUUCUCACCCUUCAUUCACUUGGUCUUGAAUCUAAAGUGAUGCCAUGUCCAAGAGAUCAUCAGUGAUCACGUCAUCAUAUUUCUCAUUUAAAUAUUCAGUGACGGUGUCUUGAUGUUUUCGGUAAGCUCGGCAUCAUCAUCGUCAAGCUUUAACAGCCCUUCAUUGAGAAGACACAGAACUGGUUUACAGGUAGUAUACACUGACAUAUUCUUCCCCAGAGAAGGCAUCUGAGAAUUCUAGAAGUGGAUUCAAUGCCUUGUGGAAUGAUUCAAGGACUUGAAUAUCCGGCCACAUAGGAAUCAAAUGCCUGGUCUUUUUGUCAGCGGAGACAAGACUUGUGCGAUGGCCUUCUCUUAUAACAGCACUCUCUCUCUACCAUCUUUUGAUGUGAGCCCCAUCUUGUAGCAACACAGUUGAGCCAGCGCACCAGGGAGAAAGACAGGACCGUGAGGAGGAAUAAAACGAGCAAGAGGAGUAUGAAGAGGUAGAAGAAUGAAGGUACCUGAGAGAUGAGUCAUGAGUAACAAUGCCCAGACCGGGAGCACAAUGGGCUUUAUUUCUCCAGCCGUUCACACGCUGCUUCUCUUGAGAGAUGUCACUGUUACAAUAGGAGUAAGCCGACUAAAUCCUGCAAAGUUCACCCACAGUUUGAGCAUAAAAGAAGGUGACAACCGAAUAAGACAGGCGCAUCCAAACACCACCAGGCCACAGUCUCUCUCUCCCACACCAUCAGUGUCUCCUUGAGAUGUACGGAGCAUGUUUUAGGUGUAGAGAUGCGCAACGCUUACAUUUUCAGCGACCGUCUUUCCACUCUUGCUGUUCCCAUCACUUUUGUGGUCUGGGGGUGAGGAGGUGACCCG
Long non-coding RNA from Acanthopagrus latus (yellowfin seabream), 1411 nucleotides. RefSeq lists it as uncharacterized. NCBI's taxonomy places the organism in Eukaryota, Metazoa, Chordata, Actinopteri, Spariformes, Sparidae. The record is from RefSeq and is a predicted model, not a curated record. The transcript is spliced from 4 exons.